CCUACGGGAGGCAGCAGUAAGGAAUUUUAGACAAUGGGCGAAAGCCUGAUCUAGCAACGCCGCGUGGACGAUGAAGGCCUUCGGGUCGUAAAGUCCUUUUCUGUGGGAAGAUCGUGACGGUACCACAGGAAUAAGCAUCGGCUAACUACGUGCCAGCAGCCGCGGUAAUACGUAGGAUGCAAGCGUUGUCCGGAUUUAUUGGGCGUAAAGAGUGCGUAGGCGGCUUCUUAAGUGGGGCGUGAAAUCCCCCGGCUUAACCGGGGAGGGUCGUCCUAAACUGGGGGGCUUGAGGGUAGAAGAAGAGAGCGGAAUUCCUGGUGUAGCAGUGAAAUGCGUAGAGAUCAGGAGGAACACCGAUGGCGAAGGCAGCCCCCUGGGUUGGCACUGACGCUCAUGCACGAAAGCGUGGGGAGCAAACAGGAUUAGAUACCCUUGUAGU
This 439-nucleotide ribosomal RNA is filed under the name uncultured bacterium. RNAcentral's name for it is "partial 16S ribosomal RNA". It matches the Rfam family "Bacterial small subunit ribosomal RNA", at positions 338 to 794 of the family's 1533-position model. The record is from RNAcentral.